CAAGGUCUGGCCAAAUUGGUCCUAUGACAGAAAGAACUCAUGAAUGUAAACUUGAGGAUAUUACACUUUUCUUUAGUGAAUAUAAGUGAUCUACUUAUGUGUACUUGUUUUACUGUAUUUUAUUUUGCUUAGUUCAGAGAGGGGUGAUUACUGAGCUCUGAAAUGUACAGUUUAGGCUAGAAGACUUGUACCUUCAGUAUUUAAUAAAAGAAACUAUACAUAAUUCU
RNAcentral lists this long non-coding RNA (227 nucleotides) under Bos taurus (domestic cattle). RNAcentral's name for it is "long non-coding RNA NONBTAT026571". The record is from RNAcentral. Lineage: Eukaryota; Metazoa; Chordata; Mammalia; Artiodactyla; Bovidae.